GAGCAUGACGCGCGUCACCGCGUGUGUGCGCGCUCGCGUGUUGAUCUUAAAGGACAAUUGAACUUCUUCUUCCUUCGAGUCUUUCCUGAUGAUGGAUCCCUCAUCUGCUCAUCAACACCCGUGCUCACCUGCGUUCCAGCGAUCGACGAUCAUAGAUGCGGUUGGCGGAGAAAGUCAAGGACUCUGCCGAGGGUACAGAAUUGAUCAACCUUGACCAGGACAAAACCCCCACCGCUCCCCCUGAACCCGAGUUCAUGUCCAGCGGACACUCCUCUCCAGUACACCUGAGUGGAUCUUACAAGGAAGACCGAGGAGUGAGAGUCAGGGGUUAGAACACACCCUCCAACAAUCUAGAGGCGCCGCCACUGAUUGUCCACGAGAUGCUGCAGAUUUGCCAACCAAGACAGCACCACGGCAUCCAGGGCCUUGAGGAACUCCGGGAGGAUCUCGUCCCCCCUGCCCGCUCUGCAACCUCAGCCCUGAAGACAGGAGAGCCCAUGGUCGAGUCACAAAGCACUGCUUCCUCACGAGAAAAUUCAUGGGACGUCUGUGGGAUUCGGGGAGUUCUUCGUCCUCUUGAAGAAAAAUGAAGUUUUACAGUAAAAUCUUCAACGUUCUAAUCAAGUUAAAGGCUAAGCUGACUUUACAGAAAUAAAUACUGUAUUUUCAGUUUAAAUUUGAUGUUUAACUUACAAAAUGAUAACUGUCAAAUUAUUUCUAGUUUGUGGUUGGGUGUUUUUAUUAUGUAAAAAUGUUGAUUUCAUGAAACAAAGCACUCAGUGUGUGUCGGGAUUACGUCCCUAAAUUUUAUUCAUGACUUU
This is a long non-coding RNA of Entelurus aequoreus (snake pipefish), 821 nucleotides long. RefSeq lists it as uncharacterized. The record is from RefSeq and is a predicted model, not a curated record. NCBI's taxonomy places the organism in Eukaryota, Metazoa, Chordata, Actinopteri, Syngnathiformes, Syngnathidae. The transcript has 3 exons.